AGAAUCAACGCUGGCGGCGUGCCUAACACAUGCAAGUCGAACGAGAAAGUGGGAGCAAUCCCACGAGUAAAGUGGCGCACGGGUGAGUAACACGUGACUAACCUACCCUUGAGUGGGGGAUAACCUAGGGAAACCUGGGCUAAUACCGCAUAAUACCUUCGGGUCAAAGGAGCAAUUCGCUUAAGGAGGGGGUCGCGGCCGAUUAGUUAGUUGGCGGGGUAAUGGCCCACCAAGACUAUGAUCGGUAU
Molecule: ribosomal RNA, 248 nt
Filed under: uncultured bacterium
Lineage: Bacteria
Description: partial small subunit ribosomal RNA
Rfam family: Bacterial small subunit ribosomal RNA
Source: RNAcentral